UGUAUUUAUUAGAUAAAAAACCAAUGCCCUUCGGGGCUUUUUGGUGAUUCAUGAUAACUNUACGGAUCGCAUAGCCUUGCGCUGGCGACGGUUCAUUCAAAUUUCUGCCCUAUCAACUUUCGAUGGUAAGGUAUUGGCUUACCAUGGUUUCAACGGGUAACGGGGAAUUAGGGUUCGAUUCCGGAGAGGGAGCCUGAGAAACGGCUACCACAUCCAAGGAAGGCAGCAGGCGCGCAAAUUACCCAAUCCCGACACGGGGAGGUAGUGACAAUAAAUACUGAUACAGGGCUCUUUUGGGUCUUGUAAUUGGAAUGAGUACAAUUUAAACCUCUUAACGAGGAACAAUUGGAGGGCAAGUCUGGUGCCAGCAGCCGCGGUAAUUCCAGCUCCAAUAGCGUAUAUUAAAGUUGUUGCAGUUAAAAAGCUCGUAGUUGAAACUUGGGCCUGGCUGGCGGGUCCGCCUCACCGCGUGCACUCGUCCGGCCGGGCCUUCCUUCUGAAGAACCUCAUGCCCUUCACUGGGCGUGCUGGGGAACCAGG
RNAcentral lists this ribosomal RNA (540 nucleotides) under uncultured eukaryote. RNAcentral describes it as "SSU rRNA". It matches the Rfam family "Eukaryotic small subunit ribosomal RNA", at positions 202 to 746 of the family's 1831-position model. The record is from RNAcentral.